RNAcentral lists this ribosomal RNA (253 nucleotides) under Priapulus caudatus. RNAcentral's name for it is "partial large subunit ribosomal RNA". It matches the Rfam family "Eukaryotic large subunit ribosomal RNA", at positions 721 to 945 of the family's 3401-position model. The record is from RNAcentral. Lineage: Eukaryota; Metazoa; Priapulida; Priapulimorpha; Priapulimorphida; Priapulidae.
GAAAGUGAAGGUCGACUUUCCGGUCGGCUUAGGCGAGAUCCCGGAUACCGAUGUCCGGGCGCACUGCCGGCCCAUCUCGUCCGCCACGUCGGUGAGGUGGAGCUAGAGCAUGCAUGUUGGGACCCGAAAGAUGGUGAACUAUGCCUGAGUAGGUUGAAGCCAGAGGAAACUCUGGUGGAAGNCCGUAGCGAUUCUGACGUGCAAAUCGAUCGUCGAACUUGGGUAUAGGGGCGAAAGACUAAUCGAACCAUCU